This 30-nucleotide transfer RNA is filed under the name Heteronotia binoei (common prickly gecko). RNAcentral describes it as "partial tRNA-Ile". The record is from RNAcentral. Lineage: Eukaryota; Metazoa; Chordata; Lepidosauria; Squamata; Gekkonidae.
CACAACAGAGGUCAAAAUCCUCUCACUUCC